GAUGAACGCUGGCGGCGUGCCUAAUACAUGCAAGUCGAGCGAACAGACGAGGAGCUUGCUCCUCUGACGUUAGCGGCGGACGGGUGAGUAACACGUGGAUAACCUACCUAUAAGACUGGGAUAACUUCGGGAAACCGGAGCUAAUACCGGAUAAUAUAUUGAACCGCAUGGUUCAAUAGUGAAAGACGGUUUUGCUGUCACUUAUAGAUGGAUCCGCGCCGCAUUAGCUAGUUGGUAAGGUAACGGCUUACCAAGGCAACGAUGCGUAGCCGACCUGAGAGGGUGAUCGGCCACACUGGAACUGAGACACGGUCCAGACUCCUACGGGAGGCAGCAGUAGGGAAUCUUCCGCCAUGGGCGCAAGCCUGCCGGCGCCCCGCCGCGUGAGUGAUGAAGGUCUUCGGAUCGUAAAACUCUGUUAUUAGGGAAGAACAAAUGUGUAAGUAACUAUGCCCGUCUUGACGGUACCUAAUCAGACAGCCACGGCUAACUACGUG
Molecule: ribosomal RNA, 497 nt
Filed under: uncultured bacterium
Lineage: Bacteria
Description: partial 16S ribosomal RNA
Rfam family: Bacterial small subunit ribosomal RNA
Source: RNAcentral